Cercocebus atys (sooty mangabey) is the source of this 7442-nucleotide long non-coding RNA. RefSeq lists it as uncharacterized. The record is from RefSeq and is a predicted model, not a curated record. Lineage: Eukaryota; Metazoa; Chordata; Mammalia; Primates; Cercopithecidae. The transcript has 2 exons.
UUAUGGCUGUAAAUCUCCAUGGCUGGCCAUUUCUUCCUGCUGCCAGGCCCCUUGGCACAGUUGACACUGUCUCAAAUUCCAGACCAGAAAAAAAGGGCCCACUAUAUUGCAGUGAUUUUAUCAUUAACGAGACCUGUUUGGCUCCAAAAUGAGGAAAAAUACUUAAGCAUAAUAUUUGCGUAGUUCAAAUGCAACGCCCCCUCCUGUCAUGUGUCACCAAGGCAAAUCUGGACUCUGAUUCAGCGCUCCAGCCCACAACAGGGGACUUGAACGCAAACAGCCUGAGUCACGCAGGUCAGCACACAUGUGGGAGGCCUGUUCUCGGCUGAGUAUUUUAAGCACCGGCUUUGUGGAUGAAAGGCCAUGGGGCCAGGUCUUGGAGCAACUCCCAUCAUCCCUUUCCCUCAGAAGUAUGAAAAUGUCUUUUUUCCAGAACGCCCUGUGUUGGUCAGUCAUGGUGUGACUCAGUGCCUCUGGAUGAAGCCUGCCUUAGCUCCUCCCUCCUCUUAUCUCUGCCAUAGAUCCUUGGCUUCCUGAUGAUCAAACUGAAGAAUCUGCAGUUUUCUUGCAGAAAAACAAACAGUUCCAAUGGAACAACCAUUCAAAACAUAAUAACUCAGCCCUUUAACCUCCUACCACAACCUAAUGCCUGGCGUUAUGAGUUAGGGGAAAGAAGAAGGCAGGACAAAUGGUUGUGGAGAGCUGUCUGCCUCAGAAAUAAUGCCAGUCGGCAAAGGCUGCUGGCAGGUUUUGUGUUCAUUUCAAAACUUCACAUUCCUCGGGCACUUAGUGGCAUUUUUGAAGAACACUGUUUCAAGGACAGGGGAGUGAUGUGAGCGAGGUCAUUCUGAAUACACAGCACUUGACGUGGUAGAGUCCACAAUCAGCCUUGGAAGAAAGGCUCUUGCCAGUUGUGUCUCUCUUAGCCAGCAAGCGUGGGGACCUGUGCCACGGAGACACCCAACAGGAAUCAUCAUUUCAGGUAAGCCAGUCCUGUGGUCAGGCACAACGUGAGGUUUUUUUGUUUGUUUCUUUGUUUUUUGUUUUAAUUAGUCCCCCUCAUUACCAUAAACUAAGAAAUGAGAGCUUUAACUUGUGAGCAAUUUCUAUACCAGCUGAUACCUGCCAAAAUUGUAGUCAUUUAUAGAGAUUAACUGAUGACUGUCUGCUUUAGCAGAAGUGUUCAGGCAUAACUCCCGGAGAAAACAAUUCUUCAGUCUAAGCUGUUUUCUAAGCCCUGGGAGUCUCAGGGCUGAGUUUAAUGCUGGAGGAUUGGGGAAGAGCCCACUCUACUCUCCCCACGUGUGUUCCUGGGAGUAAGUAGGAACGUUACUGCCUUAGUAGGGGGUCUUGACCCUCAGGCUCACAGUGGUGCUGGAGAGCUGUAACACCAAGGCACAGGGGAAAUGAGAAGCAUUAUCAUAUUCAAGGUGUGGUUCGGAUGCACUUACAAGCUAGAUCAAAGGAACAUCUAAUUCUUACUUUCUGAAACCAUCAGACCUCAUGUGCCAGAUAGCAAUAUUUUGCGUGAAAUAUAGGAACUUCCGAUAUGAACUUUCCAGCUGGGGAAAAUGAAUACUUUAUGUCUUCAGUUUCCUGUAUCUGUGUUCAAUUAAAAGGCUCAUUUGCCCCCUGAAUUAGAAAUAGAGGAGUAUGGAAAAUGUCUACUAUCCAAUUCACUUUUCUUCUUUCUCACUGAGUACUGGGCUUUAGAGGGCAGCAGGGACUUCAACCCUGGGUCAAGCCCUUGGGUAGAACCGGGAUGCAGCUCUGAACACCUGCAUGCUGGCAGCUUGGCUUCUUCAGCAUGUUUGAAGUCAACUGUGAAUGUUUACAGGACGGUGCUUAAAGUAGUGGGCAUGUCAGGAUUUCACACUGGGACAUCUUAAUCUUAAGCAGAGUUGAAAAGCGUCUUAAAUUCUUCUAUUACCAUUUUCUCAUUUUUGAAAAAAAGAAAAGUACUUGGUUGGAAUUUUACUAUGUAUGCAGAGUCAUAAAAAUCCAAAAAAGGUGAAAAAGUAUAUGUAAUACAAAUAAGUCAAUGCCAUUUGCUAAAUUUUACUUCAUUCCAAAGGCAUUUCUGUUGUUUUUGGGGUUGGCUGCUCACUAGGGCAGUCUUAAAUGUUAUAUUUUGUGACGGAUAGUGAGACCAGCUUUCACUUUUCUGCUGUACAAACUAAACUGAGCAGGUAUGCAUAUCUCAUUGAUAACUGAGCUGCCUUUUUAAAGACACCAUUGUGAUCUGUGGCUGUAAGUAACAGAAAUAUAAUAUAUGAUCUUCCAUUAAAGAAACUAGAUAAGGCUAAAUUGUCACCAUUUCUUGGAAAUUUGUGGUUAGAGAGAAUAAAGAAUUUUCUGGCAGUCAACAACAUAUUAGUCUACGUUUCUGAUAGGGGUUUACUAGUUUUCCUGAUAGAUUCUCAGCAGAAAAAUGGGGAAGGUAUAUACUCAGAAGACUGUCAUGAUGCGCCAUUGAGCCAAAUCUAUGCAAAAGCAUAAUACAAAAAAGAUAUAUAUAUAUAUAUCGUAUAUACACGUAUAAAAUUGUGGUUCUUCUAAAAGCAUAUAAGAAUUUUAUAUAGUCAAUUUUGAAAGGACAUCUGUAUUUCAGGAGAUGUUGGCCAGUCAAUGGGAUACUCCCUGCAUGAAUCUGGAUAUAAAAAUAUGGGGUUUUCUUUCCUUGAUUUGUUACUGUUUUAUGACAAUGGAAAAGAAAUCAAUGUGUGUAGAGAACAGCUUACUUUUCCUGGUAUCAGAGUCUAACCUUUAGGUUGCGGGGUCAUUAGGAUUUCAAAGUGACAGUACUGAAUGUGACCCUUCCUGAAGCCCCUUGCAGGUGGUGAAAUAAAUCUCCCUAAUUGCAAAGCUAACCAUCUGCUGGCUAAUUUAAUGUUGGGAAAUAUUGUUCAAUAUUAUAUAUCACAUGUAUAUUAUAUAUACUAUAUAAUAUAAACUAUAUGAUGGCAUAUAGAAUGUCAAUAUACAUUCUAAUUCAUAUUAUAUAUGCAUGCUUAUAUAUCGUCUAGGGCUACGUAACUAUGGGCAGCCUCACUUUCCCCCGCCCCAAUUUCUUCUCAUAUCGUUAAGCUAAGACACCACCACAAGGCUGGAGUACUUCAGAACUGGAGAAGGGCCAGAGAAAUCAGCCUUGGUUUUUAACUGAUGUGUGGGAAGUGAGGUUCAGAGAGGUUAUGUCAUUUGCCCAAUCUCACAAAGUCAGUUACGGGAAGACGGCAGGUCUGAAAACACACCCAUCUCAACACCCACAGAUACACACACUCGGGAUGUACACUCAGUGCACCUAGAAAUUCAACACCCAUGGACACACACACUCGGGAUGUGCUCUCAGUGCACCUAGAAAUACACAUUUCUGUGAACUCAGAGCGAACAGAGUGGAGAAGUGCACAAUGCUACAUGGUUUUAGAUCUCAGAGACACGAAAGCCCCUGAACGUUUGCAUUCUGCCUCGACCGUCUCACUUCCGCUCCCAGUGUGUGUGUAGAAUCAGAAGACAGCCCCAGCCACACUGUGACCUGCAGGCUGUGAGGCUGUUUCACCUGCUUGAGCGGGCAAUGGAAUUACCUGGGCAUUCUAGCUUGGUAGGUUGGUCUGGGGUGAAGGGCCUGAGAAUUUGGAGUCCUAAUAAGGUCCAGGUGAUGCUGAGGCUGCCGAUACAGGGAGCACACUGGGAAUACCUGCAUGGAAGGGAGAGCUCCCCCUGGUACUCAGGCUUCCACUGUGCAUUACUACUUCCCUUCUCCUACCUGCUUCUGAUGUGCUGUGUGCUGGGGAAAAACACACGAACUAAACAUGCCUGAACUGUGUUUAGACUGUGUUCACGAGCAAUGACUGACGGCCUCCUUUUGGUGAUAACUAUUUGGCCGUCUUUUCAUUUUUUUAACUCUUCAGUACACACAGAGCAGCUGAAAAUGCCCAAACUCUGCCCUGCAGAUAGGCAGGUGUGUGACUGUCUCUGUCUCCCACAGUAACUGGGCACAUUCUGUUCCAGUCAGACUGAUUAUCAUGACAGUCUCAAAUCUGAGAACCCCAAAUUCUCCAGCAGGAAGUAACUUCUGCUGUGCCAUCUGUGGAAAGGCUUUGGGGAAUGGCGGGGAAGGGUUACAUGGAACCUUUAUUCCGUUCCACAAAUGCAGCAGCUAAGUUCUCUGAGUGCCCACAGGAGCGGGUGUCAAUGCAGAUGCCACAAUCCUCCUCCCCUCUAGAGAAACAACAUGGUCCCAGGGAAAUGUGAAUGCUCGUGUAGGCGUUAAGAAUUCUGCAUUCUAAAUCUGCUUUUCGACCAAACUUUGCUGUGGACAAGAACAAGUCUCUUCGUCACUGAGGCUCCACAUCUGGAAGCCUGGAAUUAAGAGACUAUGAGGAUUACUCCAAGGGACUCUAAAAGCAUCCACAGCAAUUACAUCUGCUGCGAUUAUCUACUCAGCUGGUUCUUGUCGGAUGGCUCUAAGCACGGUCUUUCUUGAACAACGUCGAAUGAGGUUACGACUUUCAAAGUUUUCCCUUUGUCUUUUUUCAGGCAGACACCUGGCCUCCGGAAGCCAGUGCCAAGUCUAACUGUCAGGUUGGUCUCAGAGCUCUGUCUUGAUCCCCACCAGGUCGCCCAGCCUGGGAUCCCACCUGGCCUGCUCUACCUUUCCCUGUGCUGGGGGUCAGCAGCUUUGCACGAGGUGUCCUAAGAAUUCACUCUCCCUCUGCCUCCAGCUGUUUCAUCAAUGACCCUUUGGACAGUUAGUUAUAGGUGACCUUGGGCUUUAGUAUUCAAAGGUGCUCUCCUCUCUCCCUUAAGCCUUCACAGAGCCUUUCGUGCUACCCUGCUGACUGGGAUAUUCCAUUCUGCUUUCACCCCUCCCCCUCUAGCAUCCCAAGGCUGAGUCCAGAGGGAGUGGGACAUUAAACCCACCUUAAAAUUUGCUAGGAAGUUGUCAGAGGCUGUACCUGGGAAGAAAGCCACUCUGCGGACCACUCAUCCAGGCUCUCACUUCCCAGCUUCUUGUCUGGGUUGGAAAACAAUGAUACGUUCACCCUGAAUGCCCACCUUUUCCAUCAGUGGCAGGAGGCACAUACGUCCUAGACGCCAACUGAAGUUCUAGGCUGGCCUGGCAAAGCCCUUCCCAGGGCACCCUGGCCACUCACAGCUCCUGAGUACUCACUAGUACAAAAGCCAACAGCAGCUAGUUGUCGAACGUAGGCCCUCCCUCACACAUAAGGUUUUCAGUUGUUUGUGGCCUGACAUCCUCAUUCAGGCAUCAGGCUCACUUCUAUGCACCGCUGUCCACGUGCCAGAAGCAGCCACCUGCUGAGAAGGGGCAUCUGUGAGGAGGGAGGCCUCUUCUACCAGUUACCUGAAUGGGUGAGUGACUGUUUGCCUAGACUCCCAAAGAGCCACAGCAUGGCGAUAAAGAUGCUGGUCCACUAUCUGCCAGGUAACAUUGGGAGGGAAAGUUCUAUCUAUUCCAAGACACUAGUACCUCCUAUUCACCCUGGUGACCACAUCUGAGCCAGUUAGGAAAUGAAGGAAGGGAAGUUUCCAUCCUUGCCAGGGAUGGGGGCAGGGAUGGAGGCAAGGAUGGAUGCCCAGGACAGCCUUCUGUCCGGCAACAUUCCCCGUCCUCAAUCCUUUCCUGAUUCGAAAGGGACACACCUUCCCCCUGACCUGACUAGCUUGAGUCUUUGCCUAUGGCUGCCUGACCUGGUGCCACCAGCCUCCCAGCUCCUCUGUGUUACACAGGCAACAGGAGAGCUGCCUUUUCAACGACUGUUUUGAACUUUCCUCUCCUUUUAACUCCGUCAACAGUCCCUCUUCUGUGCGAACACUCUGGUGUGUCAAAGCCAGACCUCAGCUCAGAGAGACAGCCCUCAUAAACUGCCGCAGAUCUCCCGUCUUUUCCCAGCCAGAGGGGGACCCCGCACCACUCCCUUCCCAGUCUCUUCCCCACCCCCAACUUCUUUUUUAACCACUUCUGCUUCCUUCAUUUUCUCAGCAGCUGCCGCGGAGAGAUAUAGUAAAGCUACUGUAUAGGAUUUUGAAAGCGGGGCCUCCGAGAGCUUUCCAAACUCCAUACAAGCCAGUUAUUCUCUGCCUUGUUUUCUUUGGCUUCAGGUUAGUAACACAGAAUGAGUCAAACAGUAUUAACUUUCAAUAGGGAAGUGGUGUGGUCAACCGAAGCUGUUUGCGGCUAGAUUGUGAAGAUAGGUAGGGCAGGUAAUGCAGAACAGCCCAUAAUACCGCGAGGAGGCAGAGAAGGGAGGCGGCCCCACUCAGAAACACUCCAACAAUUAAGUCAACAGAACUCACACCAUCUUUUUUUAGUUGGCUGAGGAAUUAACACCAAGGUCUCUGACCGGUCAGCUUUGGGAAGUUGGCCAUGCUGGGGCUUGGACAAUUGAGUACUUUGUGGGUUUAAGGAUGUCUUUUUUUUUCAAAUGUUGCCAAAGUCAUGGGAACUCUAGUUAGGAAGAUUUCCCCUACUUACAGCAUGUCACUCUAGCGUGGCCCUUCAUUCAUCUCUUUCCCCGGCCUGGGAUGUGAGUUGAUCCAUUCUCCCUUCUUCCCCCUUCUCCCCCUGCCCCACCCCCACCUCCUCAGUCACCAUCUUUGUCUUCCCAGCUUGGCAGGACACCGCAGUGGCCCCUGGGCUCUCUUUCCUGAGGUUAGAAGAUGGUGCUUUGAAAGAACAAUUGCUCCUACAAACAUCAAAUCGAACUUUUAGAAGCUGAUAAAGACCUUAAAAAUCAUUCAGUCUCCUUUUCUUUCUCCUUCUGUAGAUGAGGAACCUGGGGGUCUAAGAGGAGACACUGCUGAAAUUCACUGAGCUAGGCAGGGCCAGACAUAGACUCCACUGGCAGGCCCGCAGGCUUUCCACCAGACCAGGCCGCUCCCUCGCCCAGGGCUCAAGAUUCCUUUUAGAGUUCAACAGAGCAGCUCCCGAGAACAGACUGGCCCUCAAGACUCAAAUUUCAGUGGUUUCCAGUUCUUUCUCCCUGCACUCGGCUACCUAUUUAUUUUGAGACUGGCUGAAUCACCCAAAGAAUAGAACGGGUUUCUCUGAAGCUGCUCCGGGCAGCAUGUCAGCAAAUGAACAGGACAGCGAGCUGGCCUCUGGAGCCUUGGAAGAUUCUCACCUCCAAGCAGCUGCAGUUUUUGACUCGUCCUGGGAAACUGGCACUGAGACUCAGGGGUGUAAGAUUUCACCUCCCUGAAAUCAAAUCCAGAAAUCGCAGGCGCGGAGCGUAUAUAAAAAGCCACAGGGGAAAAAAGGAAUACGGACUCAGCAACUCUUAGGUGCUCUGAGCCUCUUCCCAAGCCUUCUGGUUCCGUGAGCAUUUCAUUGAAAGAAAAUGGAAUAACAGAGUUUUAGAAGAAAAACUGUAUUUGGUCUUGUAAGAGAAAAGUAUAUUCAAAUAAAACUCAGUUCUCAAUUA